GCCCUUUUGCCGUUGUGCUAC
RNAcentral lists this microRNA (21 nucleotides) under Ornithorhynchus anatinus (platypus). RNAcentral's name for it is "oan-miR-130c-5p". Its record names the gene oan-miR-130c-5p. Lineage: Eukaryota; Metazoa; Chordata; Mammalia; Monotremata; Ornithorhynchidae. The record is from miRBase by way of RNAcentral.